UACGUAGGGUGCGAGCGUUGUCCGGAAUUAUUGGGCGUAAAGAGCUCGUAGGCGGUGUGUCACGUCGGCCGUGAAAACCUGCAGCUUAACUGUGGGCGUGCGGUCGAUACGGGCAUCACUGGAGUUCGGCAGGGGAGACUGGAAUUCCUGGUGUAGCGGUGAAACGCGCAGAUAUCAGGAGGAACACCGGUGGCGAAGGCGGGUCUCUGGGCCGAUACUGACGCUGAGGAGCGAAAGCGUGGGGAGCAAACAGG
Molecule: ribosomal RNA, 254 nt
Filed under: uncultured bacterium
Lineage: Bacteria
Description: partial 16S ribosomal RNA
Rfam family: Bacterial small subunit ribosomal RNA
Source: RNAcentral